RNAcentral lists this long non-coding RNA (6330 nucleotides) under Xyrichtys novacula (pearly razorfish). Lineage: Eukaryota; Metazoa; Chordata; Actinopteri; Labriformes; Labridae. The record is from RNAcentral.
GGGACAGGAAAAAAGGCUGAGUUUGGAGGGGAAUUGCUCACCGCUUUUGCAAAGUGUCUGUGGAAUUAGACUGUGAGUGAGAAUGUGUAUGUGUGUGUUUUUGUUUUCAUCUUUCCUUUUUUUUUUUUUCUUUUUCGUCCAUGACAGAAGGAGAAGGCUGAAGAGGGCAAUCUUUGAGUCAGGGGAGGAGUAUUUUUUUCAUAUAUAAAAGUAUAUACGUGUGUGUGUACGCUGAGAAAAUUAAUAUGUAUUUGCUUUAAGCCUCCCCUGCCUCAGCGAUUUCUUGCUGACGUGCACUGAAAUGCACAGAAUAUCCAGGUGAUGCAGAAACAGUGAAGGACAUGACUCCAGAGAAAACACACACACACACACACAUGCACACACACACUCAUAUAAAAUACCCUGAGGCUGUGUGUUUCUCCUCACUACAGCAGCCAUGCUCCUAUCAAGCCUGAUAUCUGUCCUGUUCACUAAAGCAUGUGACAGCUUUGCAUUCUUACAAGACAUGAUAAAUCUGACUUUACAAGGCGGAGAUCCACUUAUGGACUCUAAUCCCAGGGAUCCUUCAUGUUUGAGAGGUUCGUGUUUGCGCGCAGGAUACUGAUGCAGAAGCGACUAAAAUGUCAUGUCAUCACUUUACAUGUGAUGUCACAUGUGCAAAAUAAUCAGACUUAUUGCAUGACAUGUUUUUGGUGCAACGGGCAGAUCAUUACAGUUGCAUGUUGUAUGCAGGAUUACAAAGUAUUUGCUAGCUGAUUACACAGACACGCUCAGAGUGUAAUUCUGUGCAAACAAUUUAGUGAAGAUGUGCAGAAAAGUCUGAUUUUUGUCACCCAUGAACGGGACUUGAUCUUUAACUUUUGUUUACACAAAGUCUUCCUCCCUUGACUGAACAGCAAAAGCUUCAGGGAAACUAUUUAACUCUUCAUCCUUCAAUCUGCAGAGAGUGCAAGAGUAUACAAAAUUGCAAGCUGGCUAAUAUAUUUAGUUGUUUUUGAGACUGUGCUGUAAAAUAUAUGUGUGUGUGUGUGUAGGUUUGUGUGUGAUUCACGCAUACUUCCCUUAACCUGCCUUGCCAGCAGUGAGUCGGUUGUGGCUUCACUCUGUCUUGACUCCUCUCCCUCCAGGCUCCCAAAUGAUAGGCUGACCUUUCCACCUCGGCCAGGACUGCAGCGUCACUCUCAGCGUGAACUGAAAACUCAUCUCCUGGCUAAACACUUCAUAUUGCUCUCUGCUCAGCUCAGCUUCUGAACUCACCUCUGAUUUGGAUGCUGCAUGACAAAAAGGUCAGAAUGUGCAGUCUUGAGACACAUCCCGGUGUUUGUAGAAUUUACUAUAUUUUGUUUGUAAUUUGGAAAAGCAGACAUGACGAAUGACGCGUAAUUUUUCAAUCAUAAAGAUAGAUAAAGGACAAUACAGGGUAAAUUAAUACCUUACACGUAACUCAAUUUGUCUUGAAAACUGAAUAAUGCCAGUACUCCUUUGUGUCAGCAGCACUGUGUCUAUUUUUGUGUGAUUUUUCUCCUCCUUGUCUGAGUCCCUGGGCAUUUUCUUUUCCAUCCAGGCAUGAAGACAGGAGCCUGUCGAAACCUCAGCUGGAGUCCAUCGAAGGCUGUGUGGCCCGGUCCUGCCCCCAGCAUGGCAGGUCUGCAACAGAGAAACCAUGGAGGAAUAUCCUUUUUCCUUAGGGAAGACGAUCAAGCUCCUUUGGAGCUGACAAGUUACCCAGAGGUGAAAGACAGGAGGAAGAAGAGAGUCAGGAGUAAGUUAUCAAAUCUAAUGUGUUUCUGUUGUGUAUUAAAAUUCUCUCUUGCUCCAUUAAGGAGAGUGAAUGGAUUAGAAGUGCUUUUUCACCAGGUGGAGGUAGAUUGAGGAAAGCCAAAGAACAGACAGCAAAGACAACAGAUUUUUUUCAUAGGGGCCUGUGAGGUUAAGACAGGAAAAGUGGGAGGAAGUGGAGUUGAUCUGACAGCAAAAUUGUUUGGUUUGAGGGACAGACAGAGACAGAGAAGAGUUUACAAAGAGUGCAGAGUGAAAUGAGACAAUCAUUAGUUAGCAUUACAAGUCUAAAGGCAAGACAGACACUUAGGCAAGCUGAGGAGAAGCAGUGUGAGACAGGGUGGUCUAUUACGGGUAUACAACACCAAAAGACAACCCAUCACCUCGAGAAGUCAGGGUGGGGAGCUCAGAGACUGGUCUAAGGAGCAAACAUGCACCAUAGAGGCAAGCCAAUGAUAACAGCCUUCAUAGAUGAGUCAGUCUCACCAAUUCUUGCAACAGACGUCAAAGCUUGGAAAACAUGAAAUGGAUGAGCUUUUGUUGGAAGCUGAUUUGGAAGCAUUCAUGAACAAACACAUAGAUGAUGUUCAUGUGUUUAACAGAUAUGACACACUCUGUAGUCAGUGUAGUGACCCGAUAGCAAUAAUCGUGCCACUCAAAGACGGGAAAAAUCCAUAAGCUCACGUAUUCAAAGCCAGGAAAGACCGUAUCAGACAGACUGAGGUUUAGGUGCAAGACAAGGGUUAGGGAUAGACUAACAGCAUCAACUAUAUAUACUAUGGACAACUAGGCUCCACCUUCUGUUAUUAUACAAAGUUGAAGCUGAAUUGUUCUCGGUAUUUCCAGGAUUUUCUCCACUUCCUGGAACCACCACUUGCACAGUAGCAUUGUAUGUGUUGGAUGGAUGAAUCACCAAGAGUCGCUGUAACGAUGCUCUGCUCAAACAGUGUAUCCGCGGGUGAGCUACACGAUCUUCAUAUACCCAUAGGCUGUAUAAGAAUAAGAAUGAGAAUAACUGUAUUGAUCCCCGAAGGGAAAUCCAAUUGUCUCUCAUUUGUCAUGUCUCUAAAAGUUAUCCACUAUUCACAGAAUAGUUGUAAAGUCUAAUGGCUGUAUCAAGUGUCAAUUACAGAAAACAUGAACCCCCUAAUAACGUUUUAUAAUGGAGCUGCACAGAAAAAAAAAAAAAAACUUGAGCACAAACCAGUCUUACAAUAACGGAAAUAUCAACAUCACAAGCAGGGGGAGAAAAUUUAUAUUUUGUGUAAUUAAUUUCUGAAGUUUGUCCACAGCUUUAUGGUGAUUGCUGGAGGAGGCGGGAUUUAUGACCUAUACUGCAGCACGUCACCAGAAGGUGCUGUUCUUGCAGUGGCUUCACCCAGUGAGGAGGCAGAUGCUUUCCAUUCUAUAUACAGUCCAUGGUAAACAGUCUGCAACAGCCCGAAUGAUCAUCAUCAAGAGAAAGGUGCACGACUUCAAAAACACAAGCAAAUGUCCAGAACAAACACAAUGAUGGAAACACGCAACAGAUGAAAAAAACGUGCUGCGAAAAGCCAAUACAUCUGCAUUCAGAAGUACUGCAAUUACACAAAUGACACAAAGCAAAAACGACAAAAAAAGUCUCAUUUUUAUUGAUGGGCAGUGGCAUCUGGUUUGUAGUUUAAUUUUAGUUUUGAAAAAUAUACUUAGCCUCUUUCUGUUUAGGCUCCCAACAACACUUAAAGAUGGCAUUUAUAUAAACUUUCCACUCUGUGCAGGUGACAUGUAUUUGCCUCCAAUUUAACCUUUAUUUAUUUAUUUAUUUAUUUGCCUCCAGCUUAUACUUUGUGAUGUCUGCCCCAAAAGGGACUAUUAAUUUCUGCUGCUUCCACAGAAUUAAUAAGCAAAAGGCCACUGAGAUGAGUGGCAGGGGACUAUUCAAAGUAACUAAUUACUAUUAUAAUAGAUCAACUCAAUUAGAGAUUCAGUUAUGAGUAAAUGCUGCUAUUUCAACAUUUUGGUAAUGUGCCCAUAACUCUUAGACACGUUAGCUGCCUGGAUCUUUUGAUCAGUCUUAGCAUGUAUCCCUCAAAGAAAAACACUUCCUCUUAAAAUACUGUAUGUCUGACAUACCAUUUGACAUAGAUUUAUGCUAGAAAUUUUAGAAGUGUUUUAUUUUUUUGUGACUCAAAUUUGUGAAUUUGACCGUAAAUUUGAGCUUGGAUUUGAUGUUAAAAGGUUAAACAUAUUUAACCUUAGCUUGUCCUUUCUGGUCAUGUUUAAAGUUUAUUUAUCCUUUGCUAUGUGCACCUGCAUUGCUUUCGUCCUCUAAUUGUGUCCUUAAAUAAACCCCAGAGAGCUUGAAAUUAUUGUAAAUUAUGCAAAAAUGAUGAAUGUAUCACCUUGCACGGUUAUAAAUAUUAAAGCCAAUAACUUAUAAAGGCGAUAAUUGCAUCCCUCUUUUAGCUCAGCCGCAGAAAGAUGGUUACAAGUACACUAAAGGUCAGGCUCUUAUAGAGGAAACAGAUGCAUAAUGAAAUCACAACAUAUUUCACUGUGAGCCAAUUGAGCCUACAGGAGGAAGUCAGGAGGUGUGUGUGUGUGUGUGUGUGUGUGUGUGUGUGUGUGUGUGUGUGUGUGUGUGUGUGUGUGUGUGUGUGUGUUUGGCUUUCCAUGUUUUUUUUGUGGGAAAAGCAAUAAAGCUGCUUAUCUCCUAGCAGCACAGAAAGAUAGUACAGUGAAGUGAACAUAAAACAUACAGUAAAGCUCCUCAUCUAUGAAGAAAAUCAAGUAAAAGUAAACUGGGCGUGAAUCCACAACACUAAUCUGUCAUGUGAAACACUCUGGGUUUCUUACAGUGCAAUGUCACAUGAAGUUAUCCUCAUUCCCCAACCCCCUUGCUCCAACAUCCGCCCUCUUGCCUCUAGCUGCCAGUCACCCGUGGGCCCCCGACCUCCAACCUCCAACCCAAGCCAGCUACACAUCCCACCCUGCCGCUCCAUAUCACGACUUAUCCAUUCACGCAGCAUUACGUAUUAUGCAAGAAGUAUGUAUUUAUGUAUAUGAGGGUCUUCUGGAAGAAGAGCGUGGAGGGAAUUUCUGACAAACUCUGAAGUUGCUGUCCCUUAAGCUCCAGUGUCACGCCACCAACCUGCUGGGUUAUAUAUCAUACAGCCAAAGCAGAGAGUACAAUACAAAACAUCAUUAAUAUGAAAAUCAUUAAUAUGGAUCUAGGAGCAGAGAGAGCACAUCCUGAAAUAAUGAGAAAGCCAUGAUUACUAAUGCUGUAGCUCUACAUUUAUUAUUAAUCACUAAAAAAUAAGUAGGGGAAACACUGUUCGUGAAAACAGAGGGACAUGUCUGUAAAAAGAAGGAUUCAUUUACAUUUCUAGAGCUUUAACGGUAAAUCUUUACUGAUCCAUACCACAAAGCAUCUUCAGCUCAGGAUUCAUUUUUGAUUAAAGUUCUGCUUAAUUUUGCCUCUCUAAGAAAAUAACGUUUUCAUUUGACCUGCUGUGAAAUCUUUGGAGAUCCGAGGAUAAGUCAACCACCUGAAAGCACGCCUGGAUUUUCAAAAAAAAUGUUCAAAAUUUCUCCUGUGAGAUUGAAGGUGAGAGAGGCAGGGAGAGAAACAGUGAAGUGGGGUGCAAAGGGGAGCGACCCAAAAAGCACUCGUACCCUCCCUCCUUGCAGCGUACAGCAUAGCAGUUAAUUUAAAUUCUGCAAGGAGACAACCCAUAAAUCACCUCCAUUCUGACUAAUGGCUUCUGCAACUGAGGGAAAACUCUUGCCUCUCUACCUGGAGACAUCCUGCACUGCAAAAAAAAUAUAGGCUAGGUUUGUGAGUAUGGGGUGUGUGUUGUACUCUAUAUACCGUGUAUAGGAGUGUUUCACUCAGACAGACAGUUUUUGAAGGAGUCAGCAGCCUGACUUACCUCCCCACAUGUGCUGCUUUCACUGGAGGCAGAAAUCCCCCUGUGUUGCUCCAUAAUUAGCCCCCAUAACUGCAACACACUGACGUCAGAAGUGUGUGACACUAAACUAACCUUGGACUGGAUUCCAAAAAAAACAUCACCCUGGGUUACUGCAAAACUCAGCUCACCCAGAUUUGUGACUCAUGUGAGUAAUAAACCUGUCUGUAAAUAUAUUUCCUCAUAUCGUGAAAGUGACACCUAAGAGUUUGUAUGAAGUUUGUUUCUGGUUAUUACACUGCAGAUAUUUUAAAGUAAUAUUUUAUCAUUUUUUCUGCAGGGGGAAGCCAAGUUAAAGAAUUAUUGAGGACUAUCACUGUAUAAGGAUUCCCCCUCUCUCCUGGAUUUGCAUUCGACUGUGACGCAACAUCACAGGUGCAGCUCACAGACUACAACCUGCUGGAAACAAGAACAUUUUGAGUCUCAUUUUGUUGAAGUCUCAGUCCAGUUUUUUUCAUUCUGGCACACCAGCAAUGUAAUAGUGUUCUGAAUUUGAUAUUAUCUGCCUUUGUUUGCAGGGAAUUGGUCUGCGAGACACCACUGAAUCAAAUGGAUACUGAAGUAAAACUAAAAUGGAGUAAGUUUUGAAGCUUUGGGGGGC